This 2902-nucleotide ribosomal RNA is filed under the name Klebsiella pneumoniae. Its description in RNAcentral is "23S ribosomal RNA". It matches the Rfam family "Bacterial large subunit ribosomal RNA". Lineage: Bacteria; Pseudomonadati; Pseudomonadota; Gammaproteobacteria; Enterobacterales; Enterobacteriaceae. The record is from RNAcentral.
GGUUAAGCGACUAAGCGUACACGGUGGAUGCCCUGGCAGUCAGAGGCGAUGAAGGACGUGCUAAUCUGCGAAAAGCGUCGGUAAGGUGAUAUGAACCGUUAUAACCGGCGAUGUCCGAAUGGGGAAACCCAGUGCAAUUCGUUGCACUAUCGUUAACUGAAUACAUAGGUUAACGAGGCGAACCGGGGGAACUGAAACAUCUAAGUACCCCGAGGAAAAGAAAUCAACCGAGAUUCCCCCAGUAGCGGCGAGCGAACGGGGAGCAGCCCAGAGUCUGAAUCAGCUUGUGUGUUAGUGGAACGGUCUGGAAAGUCCGACGGUACAGGGUGAUAGUCCCGUACACCAAAAUGCACAGGCUGUGAACUCGAAGAGUAGGGCGGGACACGUGGUAUCCUGUCUGAAUAUGGGGGGACCAUCCUCCAAGGCUAAAUACUCCUGACUGACCGAUAGUGAACCAGUACCGUGAGGGAAAGGCGAAAAGAACCCCGGCGAGGGGAGUGAAAAAGAACCUGAAACCGUGUACGUACAAGCAGUGGGAGCACCUUCGGGUGUGACUGCGUACCUUUUGUAUAAUGGGUCAGCGACUUAUAUUCUGUAGCAAGGUUAACCGUAUAGGGGAGCCGCAGGGAAACCGAGUCUUAACUGGGCGUUAAGUUGCAGGGUAUAGACCCGAAACCCGGUGAUCUAGCCAUGGGCAGGUUGAAGGUUGGGUAACACUAACUGGAGGACCGAACCGACUAAUGUUGAAAAAUUAGCGGAUGACUUGUGGCUGGGGGUGAAAGGCCAAUCAAACCGGGAGAUAGCUGGUUCUCCCCGAAAGCUAUUUAGGUAGCGCCUCGUGAACUCAUCUUCGGGGGUAGAGCACUGUUUCGGCUAGGGGGUCAUCCCGACUUACCAACCCGAUGCAAACUACGAAUACCGAAGAAUGUUAUCACGGGAGACACACGGCGGGUGCUAACGUCCGUCGUGAAGAGGGAAACAACCCAGACCGCCAGCUAAGGUCCCAAAGUCAUGGUUAAGUGGGAAACGAUGUGGGAAGGCACAGACAGCCAGGAUGUUGGCUUAGAAGCAGCCAUCAUUUAAAGAAAGCGUAAUAGCUCACUGGUCGAGUCGGCCUGCGCGGAAGAUGUAACGGGGCUAAACCAUGCACCGAAGCUGCGGCAGCGACACUAUGUGUUGUUGGGUAGGGGAGCGUUCUGUAAGCCUGCGAAGGUGACCUGUGAGGGUUGCUGGAGGUAUCAGAAGUGCGAAUGCUGACAUAAGUAACGAUAAAGCGGGUGAAAAGCCCGCUCGCCGGAAGACCAAGGGUUCCUGUCCAACGUUAAUCGGGGCAGGGUGAGUCGACCCCUAAGGCGAGGCCGAAAGGCGUAGUCGAUGGGAAACAGGUUAAUAUUCCUGUACUUGGUGUUACUGCGAAGGGGGGACGGAGAAGGCUAUGUUAGCCGGGCGACGGUUGUCCCGGUUUAAGCAUGUAGGCUGAUUGUCCAGGCAAAUCCGGAUAAUCAAGGCUGAGGUGUGAUGACGAGGCACUACGGUGCUGAAGUAACAAAUGCCCUGCUUCCAGGAAAAGCCUCUAAGCAUCAGGUAACAUUAAAUCGUACCCCAAACCGACACAGGUGGUCAGGUAGAGAAUACCAAGGCGCUUGAGAGAACUCGGGUGAAGGAACUAGGCAAAAUGGUGCCGUAACUUCGGGAGAAGGCACGCUGGUGUGUAGGUGAAGUCCCUGCGGAUGGAGCUGAGACCAGUCGAAGAUACCAGCUGGCUGCAACUGUUUAUUAAAAACACAGCACUGUGCAAACACGAAAGUGGACGUAUACGGUGUGACGCCUGCCCGGUGCCGGAAGGUUAAUUGAUGGGGUUAUCCGUAAGGAGAAGCUCUUGAUCGAAGCCCCGGUAAACGGCGGCCGUAACUAUAACGGUCCUAAGGUAGCGAAAUUCCUUGUCGGGUAAGUUCCGACCUGCACGAAUGGCGUAAUGAUGGCCAGGCUGUCUCCACCCGAGACUCAGUGAAAUUGAACUCGCUGUGAAGAUGCAGUGUACCCGCGGCAAGACGGAAAGACCCCGUGAACCUUUACUAUAGCUUGACACUGAACAUUGAGCCUUGAUGUGUAGGAUAGGUGGGAGGCUUUGAAGCGUGGACGCCAGUCUGCGUGGAGCCAACCUUGAAAUACCACCCUUUAAUGUUUGAUGUUCUAACGUUGGCCCCUUACCGGGGUUGCGGACAGUGUCUGGUGGGUAGUUUGACUGGGGCGGUCUCCUCCCAAAGCGUAACGGAGGAGCACGAAGGUUAGCUAAUCCUGGUCGGACAUCAGGAGGUUAGUGCAAUGGCAUAAGCUAGCUUGACUGCGAGCGUGACGGCGCGAGCAGGUGCGAAAGCAGGUCAUAGUGAUCCGGUGGUUCUGAAUGGAAGGGCCAUCGCUCAACGGAUAAAAGGUACUCCGGGGAUAACAGGCUGAUACCGCCCAAGAGUUCAUAUCGACGGCGGUGUUUGGCACCUCGAUGUCGGCUCAUCACAUCCUGGGGCUGAAGUAGGUCCCAAGGGUAUGGCUGUUCGCCAUUUAAAGUGGUACGCGAGCUGGGUUUAGAACGUCGUGAGACAGUUCGGUCCCUAUCUGCCGUGGGCGCUGGAGAAUUGAGGGGGGCUGCUCCUAGUACGAGAGGACCGGAGUGGACGCAUCACUGGUGUUCGGGUUGUCAUGCCAAUGGCACUGCCCGGUAGCUAAAUGCGGAAGAGAUAAGUGCUGAAAGCAUCUAAGCACGAAACUUGCCCCGAGAUGAGUUCUCCCUGAGACUUUAAGUCUCCUGAAGGAACGUUAAAGACGAUGACGUUGAUAGGCCGGGUGUGUAAGCGCAGCGAUGCGUUGAGCUAACCGGUACUAAUGAACCGUGAGGCUUAACCUU